UACAGAGGGUGCAAGCGUUAAUCGGAAUUACUGGGCGUAAAGCGCGCGUAGGUGGUUUGUUAAGUUGGAUGUGAAAUCCCCGGGCCCAACCUGGGAACUGCAUCCAAAACUGGCAAGCUAGAGUAUGGUAGAGGGUGGUGGAAUUUCCUGUGUAGCGGUGAAAUGCGUAGAUAUAGGAAGGAACACCAGUGGCGAAGGCGACUUUCUGGACGAAUACUGACGCUGAGGCGCGAAAGCGUGGGGAGCAAACAGGAUUAGAAA
This 261-nucleotide ribosomal RNA is filed under the name uncultured bacterium. Its description in RNAcentral is "partial 16S ribosomal RNA". It matches the Rfam family "Bacterial small subunit ribosomal RNA", at positions 524 to 784 of the family's 1533-position model. The record is from RNAcentral.